GACGAACGCUGGCGGCGUGCUUAACACAUGCAAGUCGAACGGGCCCGCCCCUGUUUUUGGGGGUGGGUUGAGUGGCGAACGGGUGAGUAUCACGUGAGUAACCUGCCCCCUGCUCCUGGAUAACUGCUUGAAAGGGCGGCUAAUACGGGGUGUGCCGGCUGGUCCGCAUGGGCCUGGUCGGGAUAGUUUCAUCUUCGGGUGUUUCGGUGGGGGAUGGGCUCGCGGCCUAUCAGCUUGUUGGUGGGGUGAUGGCCCACCAAGGCGGUGACGGGUGGCCGGCCUGGGAGGGUGGGCGGCCACACUGGGACUGAGACACGGCCCAGACGCCGGCGGGAGGCAGCAGUGGGGGGUAGUGCACAAUGGGCGGAAGCCUGAUGCAGCGACGUCGCGUGAGGGAGGGAGGCCGUCGGGUUGUGAACCUCUUUCUCCGGUGGUGAAGGCCCUGUCCGUUGCGGCGGGGUUGACGGUAGCCGGGUAUGAAGCGCCGGCUAACUACGUG
Molecule: ribosomal RNA, 499 nt
Filed under: uncultured bacterium
Lineage: Bacteria
Description: partial 16S ribosomal RNA
Rfam family: Bacterial small subunit ribosomal RNA
Source: RNAcentral